AGAUUGAACGCUGGCGGCAUGCCUUACACAUGCAAGUCGAAUGGCAGCACGGGAGCAAUCCUGGUGGCGAGUGGCGAACGGGUGAGUAAUACAUCGGAACGUGCCCAGUAGUGGGGGAUAGCCCGGCGAAAGCCGGAUUAAUACCGCAUACGACCUACGGGUGAAAGCGGGGAUCGCAAGACCUCGCGCUAUCGGAGCGGCCGAUGUCAGAUUAGCUUGUUGGCGGGUAAAAGCCCACCAAGGCAACGAUCUGUAGCUGGUCUGAGAGGACGACCAGCCACACUGGGACUGAGACACGGCCCAGACUCCUACGGGAGCAGCAGGUGGGAAUUUGGACAAGUGGGCGCAAGCCUGACUCCAGCCAUCGCCGCGUGCGGGAAGAACGGCCGUCCGGUUAGUAAACCGUCGUUUUAGACGUAAGGGAAAG
Molecule: ribosomal RNA, 427 nt
Filed under: uncultured soil bacterium
Lineage: Bacteria
Description: bacterial SSU rRNA
Rfam family: Bacterial small subunit ribosomal RNA
Source: RNAcentral